This 289-nucleotide ribosomal RNA is filed under the name uncultured Acidobacteriota bacterium. RNAcentral's name for it is "uncultured Acidobacteria bacterium partial 16S ribosomal RNA". The record is from RNAcentral. Lineage: Bacteria; Pseudomonadati; Acidobacteriota.
CUACCCGGGUAUCUAAUCCCGUUUGCUCCCCUGGCUUUCGCUGAUCAGCGUCAAUGCCGGUCCAGGAUGCCGCCUUCGCCACCGGUGUUCCUCCAGAUAUCUACGCAUUUCACCGCUACACCUGGAAUUCCGCAUCCCUCUCCCGGAUUCAAGCCCGCCAGUAUCCGACGCAGUUCCCAAGUUAAGCUUGGGGAUUUCACGUCGGACUUAGCAGGCCGCCUACUAGCCCUUUACGCCCAGUAAUUCCGAACAACGCUUGCACCCUCUGUAUUACCGCGGCUGCUGGCAC